Thrips palmi is the source of this 772-nucleotide long non-coding RNA. RefSeq lists it as uncharacterized. The record is from RefSeq and is a predicted model, not a curated record. The transcript is spliced from 4 exons. NCBI's taxonomy places the organism in Eukaryota, Metazoa, Arthropoda, Insecta, Thysanoptera, Thripidae.
ACGCUCGUCGAGUACUCGACGGCAAACGGCAACCCUACCGCGAGUUUGAUUUGAUUUCCGUCCGUUGUGAACUGUCACUGUCAACAAAAUCUUGUUGAGUCUCGCGGGUCUGGUCUCGCGUUAAAACACUGCACGAAUUUAUCCUCUUAUCCAUGGUGAUCUGAAUAAUCCCUUUAAAAAUAUGGCCAGCCAAAUAGACGAUCUGGAGCUUGCUGCACUAGAAGCAAGACAAGGCCUUGCCGAGCGUCGCGCAGGUCGCCCCAAAGUUUGCUCAAACAUAUACAUGAAGACAUUAAAGUGUGACUUAACAACCUCUAUGACUUUCAAGGUUGAUACAAGAUCAAAAGUUCAAGUAUAGCUGAAUACAAUGGUCGUGAACUCAUAGAGAAUCUUGGCUUGCUUAAAAAGAUGAGUCUUUCAUAUGAGAAACUUGAUAGCCUGGAAGAAUACUUAACUCAAGUUACCAAGGCUUUAAAUAUCAUCAGCCAGAAUAAACCCAAAAAAAUGGUUUCUGGCGAUCAGUGCUUCAAUUGAAACCUUGAAGAUACUUUAAGGACACACCUUCCUACGCCAUCCUUUCAUCAUUCAUUUGUAUGAGCCAAUAAACAUUAGUUGAUGCUGUUGUUCAAUAAUUUUUGCAAUUUCAUAGAAAAAUAUUUCAUUCAUAUUUAUUCAUGUUUAUAUACAAAUCAUUCCCUUUAUGUUCCACUUUUAUUUGAUUAAUUUGAACUUGUUGAUGUAUAUAUGAAAUAUAUAACACAUUAUAAUAAUA